Molecule: long non-coding RNA, 511 nt
Organism: Dermacentor andersoni
Lineage: Eukaryota; Metazoa; Arthropoda; Arachnida; Ixodida; Ixodidae
Source: RefSeq, a predicted model, not a curated record
CUCGCGCACUUUGUUUUUUGAUUGUGCCGCCAUUGCAGUGCCAACCGUUGCGAGCGACGUAUGCAGAUAACACAUUUCGCGCCUCCUUUGUUCUUUUAUAGUGUAGUUGCGUGUUCCCGACGCCACGUUGCUGUGCAUUCGGGUGCAGCAUAUGUGAAACUGGCGGCAAGCGACUCUUUCGGAUUCCUUCUGCGAAGCGAGACGUGGCGCGGAGGAAAGUCUGGCACCGAAGAAUCACCCGUGCUGAUUUCAACCUAACACAAUGGUCCCGGCUCUAUGAGAAGGCUGACGUCCCCACCUCCGCCAUGGAAGUCGUCGUCCAAGCUACAGACAAGGCUGCGGGCGUCAGCGCAGCGACACCGGCAGAGGAUCCACCGCGCGGUGCGUCACCUACCGAAAUGGUGGCCGCUGCACCUGUGUUGCAGCACCCUGUUCGGCCACCACGUCGACAGUGACCGCGACGGGUGGAUACCUUGACGACGAUGUCGUCGCAGUGCGCCCGCCGCGUAGA